AGUGAACGCUGGCGGCAGGCCUAACACAUGCAAGUCGAGCGGCAGCGCGUCCGACCACCCUCGGGUGGUCGGAUGGCGGCGAGCGGCGGACGGGUGAGGAAUGCAUCGGAAUCUGCCUCGUUGUGGGGGAUAACGUAGGGAAACUUACGCUAAUACCGCAUACGACCUACGGGUGAAAGUGGGGGACCUUCGGGCCUCACGCGAUGAGAUGAGCCGAUGCCGGAUUAGCUAGUUGGCGGGGUAAAGGCCCACCAAGGCGACGAUCCGUAGCUGGUCUGAGAGGAUGAUCAGCCACACUGGAACUGAGACACGGUCCAGACUCCUACGGGAGGCAGCAGUGGGGAAUUUUGGACAAUGGGCGCAAGCCUGAUCCAGCAAUGCCGCGUGCAGGAAGAAGGCC
RNAcentral lists this ribosomal RNA (400 nucleotides) under uncultured bacterium. RNAcentral describes it as "bacterial SSU rRNA". It matches the Rfam family "Bacterial small subunit ribosomal RNA", at positions 30 to 416 of the family's 1533-position model. The record is from RNAcentral.